UGUCUGCAGGUGGGGCAGGGUGGGGCUGUGCCAGCUCUGGUGGCCCAGGAGCCGCCAGGAUCUGCCCUUGGCUCACGGGCCAGGGGUCCUGGAGGUGCAGCUCAGCUUUGGGCACUGGGUGAUGAUUUGGGAGCAGAGCCGAGUCCCUCGGGGGUUCCCUGCCUGCAGCCUCAGGUGCCUGCUGCAUCCAGGCAGGUUAUCCAUCUGCAGAGGCUCUGCAUUCCCUGGGAAAUGAGAUCCAGGGCAUUCCUGAGCUCAGCUGACCUGGAGGCUGCAGGGAGGAACCGGCUUCUCCCCCUGCUGUCCCAGAAGGGGGAUUUCCUUGUGCUCUGGCCCAGGGAUGUGCCUGCCAGUGCUGGGGACAGUGCUGACAGCAGGCUCAGGGCUCUGAGGUCUGGCUGUGCUGGAUCACACGCUGACCUUGGGGAGAGGAUGUUACACAACACACUGGUGUCCAGACCCCUGUGAGAUCCACACGGGAUCCACAUGGGAUGCCCAGGCCCUCGCGCCCCUCAGAGCAGCUGUUUCUGUGCCUUGGUGUGCCCAGGAAUGAUCCAGCCAUCCCAGUUUGGCACAGCUCCCUGAUUUUCCAGCACUAGGCAGGUGUCCCUUCACAAACUCUUCCUGUUGUCACUGACACUGGUAUGUCCCUGCCUUACAGGUGGUUCUGCUGAGGGUCCCCUGCUGGGGCAGGCUGUGUCAUUGCUGUCACACCUACUCUGACUUCACACUGCUGGAUGAGCAGUGAGGGAAGAGCAGAGGUGUCUGAGCUCCAGGAGCAGCAUGGCCUUGCCAGAACCUGUUGUAAUCUUCGCUGCAGUGUUGUUCUCGCCUCUCUGCUGGGGCUCUUCUCCCUUCUCUGCCACACACUCCUUCCUUUCUUCUCAGGGGCUCCUCCUGGGCUCUUGACCCACCCCUAUUUAUCUCAGUUACCUUCACGAGCUACAGCUGCUGCCCAGCUAAGGACCCUGCAGCUGCAGCUCGUUUGGAGCAACUCAGACCCACACAGGUCUUACAAUACAACAUAUAUUCAGGCCCCCACAUUGACACACACAGGUCUUACAAUACAACAUAUAUUCAGGCCCCCACAAGAACCUUGGGGAAUGGGGCACACAGGGGGUGGAGACCCUCCCAGUGCCACUGGAGGGACAGGGGACGGUGCCAGGAGAGACCAGAGCUGCGGCUCGUGGCCAUGAUUCCAGGUGGCCAGGAGGGCCCAGGGCUGUGCCAGGAGCACAGGGCAGUGACUGGACAGUCACUGUGCUGGCCCUGCCCAGGCUCCGUCUCCAGGGCUGGGUCCAGCUCGGGCCCCUCAGCUCAGGCAGGGCCCUGAGGGGCUGGAGAGUGUCCAGGAACGGAGCUGGGAAGGGAAUGGAGCCCCAGGAGAGGCUGAGGGAGCCGGGAAGGGGCUCAGGUGGAGAAAAGGAGGCUCGGGGGGGCCCUCUGGCUCUGCACAGCGCCUGACAAUGCUGCCAGAUGAAGAAUGGAUUGCACCUGGUGGGUUAAUACAAUGGUCUUUUAGGGAAAGCAUUAGACUAUGGAAGUGCACAAUCCAAAGCACAAUAAACAUUAACCAAGGAAAGGAGUGAGAAGCUCCACUCCACUGACUCCAAGCCUCACCAGUUACUGAGCUAGGCCAGCUCUGCCAGCCUUUCUCCUCUGGGCACAGCAGCACCAGUGCACCGAGUGCUCAGACACAGCUGGGGGGGUACUGGCCAAAGACACCCUGGGACAGGAGGACACGUGUGCCAUCGGGGCCACCAGAGACACCCCGGGACAGGAGCAGAGGGAACUUCUGGGCCAGGGCAGCUCAGGGUGGGCACAGCAGGAAUUUCCCCAUGGAAAGGGGGCUCAGGAGCUGCCUUGGCACUGCCCAGGGCGGGUUGGAGUGCCCAGCGCUGCAGGUGACACUCAGAGCUCUGGGCUGGGCACAAGGUGGGGAUGGGGCACAGCUGGGACUCCAUGGCCUGGGGGGGAUUUUCCAACCUGGAUGAGCCUGUGGGAGCUGUGGCCAGGGGGAAAUGCUGUGCUGGGGUCACCGUGCCUGGUGACACCCUGGGACAUGCACAGCCCUCAGCUCAGUGAGGUGUGGAAGAAUAGCUACGUGACAAAAACCACAUAAACAUACUCUAAAUAGCCAACCAAGAACUGGAAAAGAACCGGAGCCAGCCAAUCUGAGUCCCUGCAGCUGUAGGGACACUGUGGCCUUGAGCAUAGCUGUAUGACAGUAACAAGGUGCUGUGGUUGAGAGAGAGACAUGAGAAAAAGAAGAUGUAAGAUAUAAAGAAUGAGGAAGUAAGAGAGGAGCUGAUAAUUAUGGCAUAACCAUACACAAUAUGUAUGAGCUUAUGACUUGUUGUGCAUGAAUGUCUGAUGCUCUCAUCAAUAAACGAAGCUUGCUGAGCUCA
Zonotrichia leucophrys gambelii is the source of this 2408-nucleotide long non-coding RNA. RefSeq lists it as uncharacterized. The transcript has 2 exons. Lineage: Eukaryota; Metazoa; Chordata; Aves; Passeriformes; Passerellidae. The record is from RefSeq and is a predicted model, not a curated record.